ACUAACAACCAGCACUAAUACACCAGAUCCUAUCAGAACUCCGAAGUUAAGCAUGCUUGGGCAAGAGCAGUACUAGGAUGGGUGACCCCCUGGAAAUUCCUCAUGUUGCACCA
Molecule: ribosomal RNA, 113 nt
Filed under: Zingiber officinale
Lineage: Eukaryota; Viridiplantae; Streptophyta; Magnoliopsida; Zingiberales; Zingiberaceae
Source: RNAcentral